UUCAGAUUAGUCGUAUCCUCCACAACAAAAAAGAGAACCCUAGAGCAAAGAAAAAGAAAAAAGAAGAAAAAAAAAGAGUUGUGCCGCAACAUUUGAAAGAAAAAAUCGCAGCAGCAGCUGCUGCCUUCUUCUUCCUUCAUAAACAACCUCCCUUAGCUCGAAAACCUCAACAAACCACCCAAACCCAGCUGAAACAACAUCAAAAUCCCUCCCUUUCACCCCCAAAAUCCAGCCCGAAAAAUAGCCCCCAAUACCAUCGAAAACCAACUCAAAUCAGCUGUAAAACCAACUGAAAAUCAGCUGCGAAACCGGCUGAAAAAUUAUCUCAAAACCAGACCAAAAUGUAGCAAAAAGCCAUCUCAAAACAACCCCAAAACAUCACCUCCUAAAACUCCAUUGAAACCAACCAAGAAUUAGCUCUAAAACCCAGCAAAAAUAGCUCUGUUUCCCAGUGAAAAUCAGCUGCAAAAUUGUCCUAAAAAUCAGCCUUCCACCUCCAAACACCACCGCUAAAGUUGUUGGAUCGGAUUGAGGUUAUUUGGGUCAAGUUGAGGUCCAUGUUGUGGCUCUCGGGUCGAGGUUUUGUUCGCAAUUCUGGUGUUAUCGCCGAAUUCCGUUUCUGCUAGCUGAACAACUAUUUUUGUUGAAUAAGAUCUUGCUCAAUUAAAGGUUCAUCCUCUACUCUACUAUUUCUAUUAGGCCACCCACUUGCUCUUAUUUGUCAUAUACUAUUUGAGAUGUCUCUGUUAGAAAUGAGUAUUUUAUCAUCAUGCGAUUGUUUGGUGAUUCGAUUACGUUGCUUGAAUUGGUGAGAUCUCGUUUCAUUAUUAUUGUUUGAACUUAAUGCGACUAUGUAUUGAUAAUAUUUUAAUUGUUAUAGUAAGUUAUUAUUAAAACGUUUCAUUAUAGGUGUUUUGGAUUUUAACAGUGAUAUUCUAAUGUUAAGGGAUUUGUGGCUAGGUGGGAUUCUGGCCAUUUGAUUUUCAAUGGAGAGUCGAUUUUGGACCAAAAAAUUUAAAGAGUUUUGAGUUUAAAAUAUUUUUCCAUACAUUAUUUUUCUACAUAGUCACGUUAGUAAACAUUAGGAAUAAAACUAUGAGGUGUAACAUUAACUCCAAUUUUUAGCAUAUUUUUUUCAAUAAAUUCUUGUCAACUAAAUCACACCGUCUCUCCAUAAUAUGGAUUGUGUACACGUUCGCGUGACAUGAUUUUAACGCCCAAAUAAAACGGGUUUACACACAUGCAGUUCGCUUCACAGAUAAAUCCAUAACUAAGUAAUUAAAAGUAGUAAAAAGUUAAAAUGUACAUAGGUUCUAAAAUAAGUAAUUAAAAAAUUUAAUUAAGCCAGGUAUGAUUAAAGCAGACCAUAAAUAGAGUCAAAUUUUCUCGACUUGGGAUUUAAAAUAAAUCGGUGACUUGGGACACCAUAAAAUUAUUCAAAGUGGCGACUCUGAAAUAAAAUAGAUAAUUCCAUAUCGAAUAAUAUCACUUAAAUUGGAAAAAAACUCCCUUAUAUCCCCUACGGGUAAAAAGGAGGUGUGACACCAGAUUCAGUAAAAUUCUUGGAGAUCUCAAAUCAUUUGAAAGACCAAUUAAAAGUGGCGAACAAGUUAGAAAGAUCCUUAGAAGCUUGCCUACAAUUUGGCAACCAAGGGUCAUUGCUUUGGAAUGUCAAGAUCUGGAUAAAAUUUCCUAUGAUGAGCUCAGAGGUGAUCUGAUUGCUUUUGAGAAAACUCAUCUUGAUAGAAAAUUCAAGAGAAGAAAAAAAUUGUUGCUUUCAAAGCAACUGUGGCUGAACCAGAAAUUGAAGAUGAAGAAGAAGGAGGAGAACAAGGUGAAAACAUAAUGCUCUCUCAAGUCGUGACCAGCAUGAUGAGACGAAACAUAAACAACAGAAGAGGUAAGUCUAACUUCAGGAAAGGAAGAGCGAGCAAUGAAGCUAAGAAAAAUGAUGAAAGAUGUUACGAAUAUGGAAAGUUCGGUCAUAUUCAAGUUGAAUGUCCGAAAUUAAAGAAGAAACUUAGCAGAAAAAUGCAAAAGAUGAAAGCCUUUGGAGCAUGGAGUAAUGAGGAAGAAUCUAAUCAUGAGGAAAUUGCUAACAUGCGCUUCAUGGCUCUAAGUGACAAUGAAGAAGCAGGGGAACUUGGGCUAAUGACAGACAUCAACGAUGAGAAAGACGACUCAAGAGAACCUCUUUCAAUGUCAGAUGAGGAACUAGUGAACUACGUACUCCUUUAUACCCUAAUUGUCAUGAACUUCAAGAAUUUGUUAAUAUUGCCCUUGCAGAUAUAGAAAGAGUAGUAAAUGAGCUCAGAAAAGUCAAGAGAGAAGAGAGACUGGGCCCUAAAACUAGAAGUAUGCAAAAUUGAACGCGAUAUAUUUCAAGAAAAAGUAAAUGAACUCAAGGUUCAAUUGAAUGGAUUGCAAAGGACCUCAAAUCACAGUUCAGUCAAGUCUCAACAGACUGUUCAUCAGAAAAAGAAAAUGGCUUGUUCCUUUUGUGGAAAAAAUGGCCAUAACACUAAUAAUCGCAGGAACAGAAUUAGAGCUAAGAGUAGUUUUGAUAACUCUAACAACUUAUCUUGCUUCUACUGUGGCAAAAGAGGUCAUACCUCAAAUUAUUGCAGGUUCAAAAAUAACAAAAGAUGGGUCUGGAGACCAAAAUCUUCAAAUCAAACUAACACUCAGAAGUCUAACCAUUCAGGACCCAAGCAGGCUUGGGUACCUAAAAAUAAGUAAUCUUGUUUUGCAAGAACACUGCAAGAAAAAUAGAAAAGGAAAAUGGUAUCUCGGCAACACGUGUUCCAGACAUAUGACGAGUGACAAAUAAUUGUUCAAAUCAGUCACCAAGAUAGAUGGAGGAAUAGUUACAUUUGGUGACAAAUCCAAAGAAAAUGUUACUGGUGUUGGAAAAGUUCCUUUAAGCUCAACAUGUGAUGUAGAUGGAGUCUACUUAGUUGAUUAACUUGGCUAUAACCUUCUCAGUAUCAGUCAAUUGUGUGAUAAUGAUUAUGAGGUUCAUUUUAAGAAACAUGGAUGGUUUAUAGAAGACGAAUCAGGUAAUAUCAUUCUCUCAAGAAAUAGGAACAGAAAUGUCUAUACUAUCAAAAACUUAGAAAACUUUGGGGAUCAAAUUUGCCUUACUUCUAUUAUUGAAGAUCCCUAGGUUUGGCAUAGAAAACUUGGCCAUACAAGCAUGAAUACUAUUCAAAAAAAUUUCAAACAUGAUCUUGUUAUUGGUCUUCCAAAACUAAAUUUUUUAAAAGAUCAUAUAUGUGAUGCAUGUCAAUUAGGGAAACAAGCACGAUCCUCUUUCAAAGUCAAAAACAUUGUUUCUACCUCUAAACCUCUUCAAUUGCUGCAUAUGAAUUUAUUUGGUCCUACUAGAACUGCUAGUAUAGGAGGUAAGAAAUAUGUUUUUGUUAUUGUAGAUGAUUUCUCUAGAUUUACAUGUGUUAUGUUUCUUAGUCAUAAAGAUGAUGCUCUAAAGAAUUUUGAAGUUUUCUGUAAGAAGGUUCAACGAGAAAAAGGAUACUAUAUCUCCACCAUCAGAAGUGACCAUGGAGGAAAAUUUGAAAGCAGAACUUUUGAAAAUUUUGCAAUGAUCAAGGAAUCUCUCAUAACUUCUCAUCGCCAAGAUCCCCUCAACAAAAUGGAGUAAUAGAACGUAAAAACAGAACCUUGCAGGAUAUGGCAAGAAGUAUGAUCGUGGAAAACUCUCUACCUCAUAAUUUCAAGGCAGAAGCUGUAAGUACAACAUGUUAUAUCAUUAACAGAUGUCUUAUUCGGCCAAUUCUUAAAAAGACUCCCUAUGAACUGUGGAACGGUAAGAAACCAAACAUUAGUUAUUUCCACCCUUUCAGAUGCAAAUAUUUCAUUCAUAACAAUGGAAAGGAUAAUUUGGGUAAGUUUGAUCGAAAGAGUGAUGAAGGUAUAUUUUUGGGUUACUCUCCCUCAAAUAGAGCUUACAGAGUUUACAACAAGAGAACCUUAUGUAUUGAAGAAUUUAUUCAUGUUAUUUUUGUUGAUACUAACCCUCGCCCAAAGAAUGAACAUAUCCUGAAGAUGAGGAAAUUUCUUGUGCUACAAAAUCUGUUCUUGUAGGUAAGGAUCAUCAAAAUGAGUCAACUAAUCUACAAAAUCAACCAGCUGAAAUUCCUCCAGAAGAAUGUGACUUACCUCAACCAGAUCAGUCGACUAUCGAAGAAAAUGUGACUUCAGCAAAUACUCCAAAUGAAUGGAAGAUUGAACCAGGAUAUCCUCAUAAGUUCAUUAUAGGAGAUCCACAGGAGGGAAUAACUACAAGGAGAUCUCAAAAGAACAAAUCUCAUGUAUCUCUCAUUUCUCAAAUUGAGCCCAAGAAAGUGGAUGAAGCUUUAAAGGAUUCUCAUUGGAUUGAUACUAUGAAAGAAGAAUUAGAUCAAUUUGAGUGAAACAAAGUCUGGAAACUUGUUCCAAAGCCUCAAAAUUCAUCUGUCAUUGGAACUAAGUGGGUUUUCAGAAAUAAAUUGAAUUAAUCAGGUCAAGUUGUUCGGAAUAAAACAAGACUGGUGGCUCAAGGUUACUCUCAAUAGGAAGGAAUCGACUAUGAUGAAACAUUUGCACCUGUAGCAAGAUUUGGAUCCAUCCGAAUUCUACUUGCUUUCGCUGCUCACAAAGGAUUGAAAUUAUUUCAAAUGGAUGUUAAAAGUACGUUCCUAAAUAUCUAUAUCUUUGAAGAAUUAUACGUGAACCAACCUCCUGGCUUUGCAAAUACCAAUUUUUCAAACCAUAUAUACAAGCUGACUAAAGCCCCGUAUGGUCUCAAACAAGCUCCACGAGCAUGAUAUGAAAGGUUGAGCUCUUUUCUUCUAAAUCAAGGUUUCAAACGAGGUAACAUCGAUACAACUCUUUUUAUUAAGCAAUCCAAUUCAGGUAAUCUUAUUACUCAAAUUUAUGUAGAUGACAUUAUCUUUGGUAGCCCUAACUUAGUUCUUUGUGAAGAAUUUGCACUUUCCAUGAAAGGUAAAUUUGAAAUGAGCAUGAUGGUAGAACUGACAUUCUUCCUUGGACUUCAAAUCAAGCAAUCCCCUAAAUGAAUUUUCAUAAGCCAAACCAAGUAUACCAAGGAGCUCAUUAAGAAAUUUGGGAUGGAAAAUGAUAAAGCUAUUAGCACUCCAAUGAGUCCAACUACCGUGCUAGAUGAAGACAGCAAUGGAAAAAUGGUUCAUGAAACCAUUUAUAGAGGGAUGAUUGAAUCUUUACUUUAUAUAACUACUAGUCGAUCAGAUAUUAUGUUUAGUAUUUGUAAUUGUGCUAGAUUUCAUUUGGCUCCUAAGGAAUCCCAUCUUACCGCUGUUAAACGCAUUAUUAGAUAUUUAAUUGGUACUCCUGAGUUCAGAUUAUGGUAUGAUCACUCUAACAAUUUCUCUCUGAGAGGCUUUUCAGAUGUUGAUUUUGCAGGAGACAAGAUUGAUAUGAAGAGUACCAGCGGGACAUGUCAAUUGCUAGGAAAUUAUUAGUAUCUUGGCAUAGCAAGAAAUAAAAUUGUGUUGUGCUAUCAACUACUGAGGCAGAAUACCUAGCUGUUGGAAGCUGUUGUACACAAGUCCUAUGGAUCAUGCACCAACUUCUUGAUUAUGAUUUUCUCUUACUUCUACUCCUAUUUUUUGUGACAAUACUAGUGCUAUCUACUUAUCUAAAAAUUCUGUGCAACAUUCUAGAGCAAAAUAUAUAGAAAUUAAAUAUUAUUUUAUUCGUGAUCAUGUAGCAAAAGGUGAUAUUACUUUAGAAUUCAUUAGUACUGAUUCUUAACUUGCUGAUAUUUUUACAAAACUGCUUUUGGAAGAAAGAUUCCGCACUUUUCAAAAAAGAUUGGCAUUGUGCCAAAUUUGUAAAUUAAAUAUUUCCUUAAGUAUUCAAAUUAUUUUACAUGCUUUCAGAAUAUUUUUUUCCUUAAUUAUAUGUGUUCUAAUUAAUUUUCUGUGUAAGUGCAAUUAUUACAUGUACCGCCGAUUAGUCACUUCUGAACCUACACUUUUGUCUGCACUUAACCCUUCCAGUAACCAAGAUGCCUCUUCACUCCUCUAAAUCUCAUCAAUAAAAACUCUCCAUCUCCAACACUUCUCUCAUUCACUACCAACCAACUCCUCUCACUAUGGCCAAAAGAAAUCCCUCCUCUACAACCAGACACAGUCGAAGGUUUCAAAAACCUCUCAACACUGAAGAACCUGUGGAUGUGGAGUCAUCCAUUGACUCAGAUUUUCUCAGAACUGACAACGAUAACAAUGCCUUAUCUAAAAAUUAUCCUAUCAGCCAGAAAAAGGAUGGCAAGAGGCCCAUGGAGCAAACCCCCAAAAAGGCUGUAUGCAAGAAGGGCAAGGUUUAAUAUUUGGAGUUUGGUCUUGAAGACAAGCUAAUCUUCUAUGGCCCUAGUGAAAAGGUGAGGUUUUAGUCCUACAAGUCAAAAUCCAUGGCUUAUGGAUGCUCUGCAAGUCUUUAUCUUAUGAAAAGCCUUCAUUGUGAUGUGACUACAAUUUUCGAUUUUCAACACCUUUCCCAUUUAUUUGACGCUCUUGGAAAUACUGUGUAUGAAGAACCUAUGCGAAUGUUUUAUGCAAAUCUGUUUGUGUAUAUGAUUUGGAAUCUAUGGUUUUAGGGACUAGAAUUGUUUUGGGCUCCUACCAAUUUGAAAAGAUCUUUUCCGCAAAGUUUAGUGGGGAUGAUGAGUUUGUCCAAAAUUCUUAGCCCAAAGACUUUGAAGUGUCCUUUAAUAAAGCAAAAAGUUUUCUGUCUGAUAACCCCCUUGACAUUGGCCCCAAAAAUCUUAAGUUUGAACACCGUGUCUUGGCCCAUAUGAUUGCCACCACUCUCCUUCCCAGAUCUGGGUCCCUUAGUUCCUUGUCCAUUAGAGAUGUUUUUAUCCUCUAUUGUCUGGUUAAUAGUAAGCGACUUGACUGGUUUGUGUGGAUUCGUCAAUAUAUGCUUGAGAGUAUAAGGGAUAUUUCCUCUUCUGAUGCAUGUCUACCCUAUGGUCUUCUUAUCUCUCAUAUUCUGGAAGUUAUGAAAGUAGACUUGACACCCUUUUCAUCCAAGCACAUCUCCAGUACUUAUGAUAAGACUGCUUUUUCUAUGAUAGGGUACACUCUGGGUAAUGAUGGAUGGUUUAAGA
This 7150-nucleotide long non-coding RNA is filed under the name Nicotiana tabacum (common tobacco). Its description in RNAcentral is "long non-coding RNA (NTAB_LNC013875)". The record is from RNAcentral. Lineage: Eukaryota; Viridiplantae; Streptophyta; Magnoliopsida; Solanales; Solanaceae.